UACGUAGGGUGCAAGCGUUGUCCGGAAUUAUUGGGCGUAAAGCGCGCGUAGGCGGCUACUUAAGUCGGAUGUGAAAGCCCCUGGCUCAACUGGGGAAGUGCACCCGAAACUGAGUGGCUUGAGUACUAAAGAGGGUCGCGGAAUUCCCGGUGUAGAGGUGAAAUUCGUAGAUAUCGGGAGGAACACCGGUGGCGAAGGCGGCGACCUGGGUAGAUACUGACGCUGAGGCGCGAAAGCGUGGGGAGCAAACAGG
This 253-nucleotide ribosomal RNA is filed under the name uncultured bacterium. RNAcentral's name for it is "partial 16S ribosomal RNA". It matches the Rfam family "Bacterial small subunit ribosomal RNA", at positions 524 to 776 of the family's 1533-position model. The record is from RNAcentral.